GUAAGUAUAAUUUAAAUAAAAUGUUAGAUUGUGAUUCUAAAAAUAGAGGUUAAACCCCCCUUACUCACC
RNAcentral lists this transfer RNA (69 nucleotides) under Lepidocephalus macrochir. Its description in RNAcentral is "tRNA-His". It matches the Rfam family "tRNA". Rfam says of the family: Transfer RNA (tRNA) molecules are approximately 80 nucleotides in length. Their secondary structure includes four short double-helical elements and three loops (D, anti-codon, and T loops). Lineage: Eukaryota; Metazoa; Chordata; Actinopteri; Cypriniformes; Cobitidae. The record is from RNAcentral.